GAUGAACGCUGGCGGCGUGCCUAAUACAUGCAAGUCGAGCGAACAGACGAGGAGCUUGCUCCUCUGACGUUAGCGGCGGACGGGUGAGUAACACGUGGAUAACCUACCUAUAAGACUGGGAUAACUUCGGGAAUCCGGAGCUAAUACCGUAUAAUCUAUUGAACCGCAUGGUUCAAUAGUGAAAGUCGGUUUUGCUGUCACUUCUAGAUGGAUCCGCGCCGCAUUAGCUAGUUGGUAAGGUAACGGCUUACCAAGGCAACGAUGCGUAGCCGACCUGAGAGGGUGAUCGGCCACCCUGGAACUGAGACACGGUCCAGACUCCUACGGGAGGCAGCAGUAGGGAAUGUGCCGCAAUGGGCGAGAGCUUGGCGGAGCAACGCCGCGUGAGAGAUGAAGGUCUUCGGAUCGUAAAACUCUGUUAUUAGGGAAGAACAAAUGUGGAAGUAACUAUGCACGGCUUGACGGUACCGAGUCAGAAAGCCACGGCUAACUACGUG
Molecule: ribosomal RNA, 497 nt
Filed under: uncultured bacterium
Lineage: Bacteria
Description: partial 16S ribosomal RNA
Rfam family: Bacterial small subunit ribosomal RNA
Source: RNAcentral